CGCCCCGCCCCUGCCGCCCAGGGACUUUGAGACUGGGUCGGGGCAGCGGGAGGCGGGAUUUUCGGGAGCGCAGGGAACGCUGGGAGCCGGGCGGUGACUGUCCCGAGCGUGCGAAAGCCGCCGACUCCGGAGAAAUCCCCCUCCUCCAGGGUGAAGAAGAAGGUGUCCAGAAUGACUUUCAAGUUUCCAGCAACUGGAUGGAGAGUGGUACGAUAGAAUGAGAUAGGGAACAUUGGAAGAAGUUCGGUGUAGAAAGAGGAAGAUCAAGAGUUUGGCAUAGACUUCCCUGUUGCAGAAACAGAGCCUGGCCCAGCAAAAUUGUGUCAUGUGGGAGAGAGGACUGGGUGCCUGCUGCAGGGGGCACAGAUCCAGACAGAGAAGAGGAGAGGCACCAAGCUGUGUGUGAGCCACUCCUCCUGGGGCAAGGACUGAGUGUUUCAGCAGGAAACACAUGGUAUACUCAAAGAGGACUCAGCCACAUUUCUUCUCGUGAGCAGCCCUUGCGAUGGUGUGCUGAUGAGUGGGCGCCCUGUGGGGGACAAAAAGAGAGAGCGAGAGAGACCCCGAUUUAUAGCAUUUGCCAAUUUCCUUGGUAGAGAGAGCACAAGCAGGCGGAGUGGGAGGGGGACAAGCAGACUCCCCGCUGAAC
Long non-coding RNA from Ailuropoda melanoleuca (giant panda), 649 nucleotides. RefSeq lists it as uncharacterized. The transcript is spliced from 5 exons. NCBI's taxonomy places the organism in Eukaryota, Metazoa, Chordata, Mammalia, Carnivora, Ursidae. The record is from RefSeq and is a predicted model, not a curated record.